This 479-nucleotide ribosomal RNA is filed under the name uncultured bacterium. Its description in RNAcentral is "partial 16S ribosomal RNA". It matches the Rfam family "Bacterial small subunit ribosomal RNA", at positions 28 to 507 of the family's 1533-position model. The record is from RNAcentral.
GAUGAACGCUGGCGGCGUGCUUAACACAUGCAAGUCGAACGAAGCACUUAAGAUUGAUUCUUCGGAUGACGUCUUUUGUGCCUUAGUGGCGGACGGGUGAGUAACGCGUGGGUAACCUGCCUCACACAGGGGGAUAACAGUUAGAAAUGACUGCUAAUACCGCAUAACCCGAUAGGAUCGCAUGAUCCAGACGGAAAAGAUUUAUCGGUGUGAGAUGGACCCGCGUCUGAUUAGCUAGUUGGUGAGGUAACGGCCCACCGAGGCGACGAUCAGUAGCCGGCCUGAGAGGGUGAACGGCCACAUUGGGACUGAGACACGGCCCAAACUCCUACGGGAGGCAGCAGUGGGGAAUAUUGCACAAUGGGGGAAACCCUGAUGCAGCGACGCCGCGUGAGUGAAGAAGUAUUUCGGUAUGUAAAGCUCUAUCAGCAGGGAAGAAAAUGACGGUACCUGACUAAGAAGCCCCGGCUAACUACGUG